RNAcentral lists this unclassified non-coding RNA (5199 nucleotides) under Monomorium pharaonis (pharaoh ant). Its description in RNAcentral is "probable glutamate receptor, transcript variant X1". The record is from RNAcentral. Lineage: Eukaryota; Metazoa; Arthropoda; Insecta; Hymenoptera; Formicidae.
UGAAAGAAGAAAAAGCAAAAUAAUAGAGUAAUUUUCAUUAACUGUUAUUUCUUUUAAAUUAUUUGAAAGUUUCCUCAUUAGUUAUUAUUUAGUUAAUAAUAUAUGUGCAAAAAAUAUAUUUAUUUCGGUCAAAUGACCGGAACGUGUAUAUUAACGUUAAUUAAACUCAAACAUUUUAUCUGGAUUCAUGUAUAUAAUAUAUGUAAAUAUAAAAUAAAAUUACCUGUAACAUAAAAUAAAAAAUACUUAUAAAAGUCAAAUUAAAUAUUAUAUUCGUUGCAGAUGACACAAUCAAAUUAUCGAAAAUAUUGUCGAACAAUUAUUUGACACAUAAUAUUCAUAAUUUCUAUAAAGAACUUGAUUCAAAGAUUUACAAUAAUUUAGAACAUCAAAACUUGUAUGUGUUAGAUUUGGAUUGUGAUUACGCCACAAAUAUUUUACGACAGGUAACAUAUUUAUGUAUGUUAUAAAUACAUUAUUGGUAAAAGUAUAUAAAGUAGACAAAGGUGUUCUUUAUUAUUAUCUUAUUCUAGGAUUUUAUAAAUUCUAGAAUAAGAUAAUAAUAAAAAAUAAAGUCAAUAUUAACAAAUAAAAAGAGCUUUCUAUUUUGCUGAUACUUUGAUUGAUGCAAGUAAUUUCGUCGUUGUUUUAUAUCAAUUUUCUAAUUUAUCAUUUAUAUCGAUAUCUCUCUGAUAUUAAUCUGUCUGAAAUGACAGGCACAUUCGAAAAGAAUGUUUGUCGCCCCGAUGAAGUGGCUACUUUUUCAAGAUCGAAAAACGAUAAUUGGCAACGAGGAUAAUACCAAUUCAACUUUCACAUAUGAUGACUCUAUAUUGAAAAUCUUCGAUAAUUUGGCAAUUUAUCCUGAUAGCGACGUGAUCAUCGCGAAAAGACUUGACGGCAAUUUUUUUGAAUUAUUGUCCGUAUACCGACCAAGUUCACAACGAGGAGUGAUAUGGGAAAAUCGUGGAAAUUGGACGAUCGAGAACGGUCUAAAAAUGAGAACUCUCGAAGUGGCUUCAGCACGAAGAAAAAAUCUUCAACAGACGGCUCUUAAAUCGUGUCUCGUGGUAACAAACCCAAAUACGAUCAAUCAUCUGACUGAUUUCAAGGAUAAAACCGUAGAUCCUGUUACAAAGGCUAAUUAUCCUUGGAUACUACAUAUAGUGAACAGAAUGAAUGCAACGGUAAGUUUCGAAGUUACAAACAGCUGGGGAUAUCGCACAGAGAAUGGCUCUUGGAGCGGAAUGAUAGGGAUGUUGGAGCGGCAAGAGAUCGAUAUCGGUGGCACCGCCACAUUUCUCGUGCCGGAACGUAUAGGUGUUGUGCAAUACAUUCAAUUGUAUACACAUACUUGCUCACGGUUCGUAUUUCGGCGACCUUUACUAUCGACUAUAAGCAAUAUAUUUAUUCUGCCCUUUCAAAAAAACGUCUGGAUAGCGAUUGCAAUAUUUCUUAUUUUGGUCUUCUGCUUGCUCUAUUUAUCCAUCAAAUGGGAAUAUUAUCGCUAUAAAAUGACAGAAUCGGCAACCUACUGGAAUCAAUUAAAUUCCAACAAACCAACAGUCAGCGAUAAUAUUCUUAUUCUUUUGGGCGCAUUUACUCAGCAAGGACAUUCGUAUGAACCCUACAGAAUUUCGUCUCGAAUCGUCACUUUUAUGUUAUUGUUGGCCUCGCUGAGUCUCUAUGCGGCUUAUACAGCCAAUAUCGUGAGUUUGCUGCAAUCUACCACAGAUUCUAUCAAAACUCUUUCAGAUCUCCUAAAUAGCCCUUUACAACUGGCUGCACAAGAUGUAGUAUACAACAAAUAUUAUUUCAAGGCUUUUCAAGAUCCUAUUAGAAAGGCGAUCCGGGACCGAGUCGAACCGAAAGGACGCAAAUCUAAUUGGAUGCCUAUAGAAGAAGGUGUCUAUCGUCUAAGAAAAGGACUCUUCGCAUUCCAAGGAGAAAUCGGUACAAUUUAUCAAUUGAUGCAAGACACGUAUUUGGAAGAAGAGAAGUGCGGUUUGACUGAGAUCGAUUUCCUAAAAGUUUUAUAUCCGCUUCUCGCGAUACAAGUGCAGUCACCCUACUCAGAGAUAAUAAAAACUGGAGCUCUAAAAUUACGAGAAUAUGGACUCAAAUAUCGUGAAGAGUAUCGUUUGUAUACAAGAAAACCAGUGUGUUCGAGUCAAACCAGCUUUAUCUCUAUCGGUUUCACGGAAUGUCAUUUCGCGUUGGUCACAAUGGGUUAUGGAAUACUCUUCGCUGUAAUCGUGUUGGCGUUCGAGUUAUUGUGGCACAAGAGGCAAACUAUGCGCGCAAUAAAACAGAUGUCAAACGAAGAAAUCAAUACUGUGGAAUACCUUGAUUAAAUGUGUUUUAAAAUAAAUAUAUACUAGUCUAAAAGAGAUAGUUGACUUUUCUAAGUUUUCUACCGCACUAAUCUUUUAAUGACGAACUAUAAUAAUCGAUUGCAAAUUGUCUUAUGUACUAUGUAAUGCACAGACUCCUGUAUAAUGAUAAUCAAUGCUGCCGGCAUCACAAAGAAAUUAAUGACAUCACAGAUACAUCACACCAUAAAUAUCUAUAGAUCUGUUCGUGUUGCUUAAAAUUUCCAAAAUUUUUUACACUCAAAACUAGAUAAAUAUACAUUUAAGCAUUGGAAAGAGAGAAAACAAAGAUGUUGAGUGCAAACAACACAAAUAGGUGUAUUUCCUAAAUCGCUAACAUAUGACCAAGAGUUAUUUUGGGCCGGAUAUCCGAUUUGAGGCAUUUUGAAGUCAAGCAAAUGGCAGCAUACAUGAUGUUCUACGUGAUUUUCGUCACUAUUGUUAGAUAAGAUCACGUUUGCGCACUAAUAUAUUUAUUACUGCCAUUUAAUUUCAAUCACACAAGUCUGCUGUAACUAAACCGCAAAUUAACGAUAUAGUAUAAAUAUCUGUGGUCACAUAUAAAAUAUUUAUGAUAAAACAAAGUAAUACAAAAGAGUUAUUUUAUACUCUUGUUUUCUGAUCGUAAUUCAAACAUAUAAAAAAAACUUCACCAAAAUUAUGUACAAAAACGUUAAACUUAACCUAUAGAGAACCGUUUUUGGACGACUUUUUAAUUUUAGUGCUAAGACAUUUUUGUCCUUGUCAAGUAAGUUAAACUACAAAAAAGAUGGCAUCGCUCCAGCGCCUAACAUUAGGCUUCCGAUUCCGAAAAAAUGAGUAGUUAUUUUGUUGGUGUAUUUAAACUUUAUAUUAUUGUUGUUAAAAUAAUUGUUUAACGUCAUUUACAACUAAAAUGUGUUGAAAAAUAUGUAUAAAAAUAGAAUCAUGUCGCACUUUGUGAGAUAUCAGACAAUAAAAUGUCAUUAUACAAAGUAACGUCAAUUUAUUUCAAAAUAGAUGCACAUGUUAUAAUGAAAGAAGUAAUUUUGGCUAAACAAAUAGUGUUUUCGGUAAAUCUAAUUACUUAUAAGCCUAAUAUUAGGUUUCCGGUCCCGGAAAGAUUAUUUUAUUUUAUUUUAUAUUCGUAAGUUUCAUAUCCUUGGAUAUUUCUCAUUUAUUCACUGAUUAGUGUAGUUUUAUUUACGCAUUAUCAAUUCUGUAGUUAUAAUUAAUAAUUGUUAUAAUUCUGUAUUUAUGUAUUAAUGUUAUAAUUAAUAUUUGCAGUAAUGUUAUAUUAUGUUUAAUAAUUAUGUUAAGAAUGUGUGAGUUAAUUCAAAUUCUUUUUCAACUUUUGUUACUAUUAUUCGUUAAAUAAAAAUUUUUCUAUGUGAUCAUAAUAACUCAAUAACUGCUCCCUAUAGUGUUCCAGAUAUAGCGUAUCUUGGAUCAUUUCUUUCUCAAAAAUUAAUCUAUAUUUAUCGAAUGUACUCAAUAAAUGUUAAAAUAAACAUAAUUCUUUAAUUAUAUAGAAAAUAAAAUAAAAAAUCUCUUAGAGCAGAUAGUUUAACAAAUUGAAUCGUUCUCGUGAAAGUCCCUAUUCUAAAAAUAUACUAAAAAUAUAUCUUGGAGAUAUCAGAUGAUUAUAAGUAGUGAUAGGAUCAAGUUUAAUAUAUACUUAAAAAUUCAAGUUAAAUCUACUAAUUAAGUUUUAUUUUCUAUUCAAAAUAAUAUUUUAUAUAUUGUACUUGCGAAAGUAAUCGAUACCGAUUAAUUAUUUAUGAGUUUAAGAAUGAGUACCUAUAUAAUGAUUCAAAAUGUACUUGUAAGUAAUUUCUAUGAUACAAAUCUAAUUUUGAGUAAAAUAUUCAAACUAUAAAUAACUAGAAAGAAAAAAAUUAGUAAAAUAAUAGGUAUAAAGUUUUUAGUAAAAUACUUAAAAAGAAUUUGAACAUAAUUGUUCCAGAUUCGAGUUUCUUUGAACUACUUUUAUUUUCCGAGAUAUUAGAUAAAGGAUUUGAAACAAAUUCAAGCCUACUUGUAGAUACUUAAUUCCUAAUCACUAAUUAUAAACAAGAGAUAACUGGAUUUUAUUUUAUUACAAUUGCGUCGUAAAUUAUGUCGCUACAAAAAUAUGUUGAUAAAUAUUUAUUAACAUAUUUUUGUAGUGAUUGUAUAAAUAAUAUUUGAAAAAUAAUAUAGAUACUUACUUUAAACAGACUGAAAAUCUUAAGGUUUUUAUGAUAUUAUAAAUAUAAUCUUGAAAUCACUUGCCUAUAAAAUACAAUAGAUGAAUCUCACUAGAUACAAUAGCUAACAGUCAAAAUCAGCGGCAAUAGUGAUCUUAGAAUUACACUAUGGCUGCGUUCCGAUAUUCACUGCCAGUUGCUGCAGUACUGAAAAUCUAUAGUUUACGUCACAUAUAUUGUAGAUUUUCAGUAUUAAAAGUAAAUAUCGGAACGCAGCCUAUAUAAAUAUAAUAUAUACAUAUAUAUAUUUUUUUUGUUUUAUAUAUGCUGCUUUCUAUUUAUGUUAAAGUAAGACUGAUUUACUCAGUAAUAUGAGUAUUUUAUACUCAGAUAGUCAUUACUCAAUGAUUUAAAGAAACAUGCAAGUGAUCACACUUAUUUUAAUAACAAAAUUAUCGCAAUAGAUAACCUUACUUUUAAAGUGAGUAUGCGAAACUCAGUAAAGCACUGUCUUAAAAUUGCUCAAAUUGUAAGAAAAAAACUCAGUUGAAUCUCAUUUGUGAGAAUGCAAAAGGAAUGUGCGUUCAAUUGAGUUAUGACAAGUCACAAAUGAGAAUUAUCUGAGUUUUGAUGUAAAUGGAAAGCAGCAAUAUAUAAUA